RNAcentral lists this small nucleolar RNA (111 nucleotides) under Macleaya cordata. RNAcentral's name for it is "Plant small nucleolar RNA U3". It matches the Rfam family "Plant small nucleolar RNA U3". Rfam says of the family: Small nucleolar RNAs (snoRNAs) are involved in the processing and modification of rRNA in the nucleolus. There are two main classes of snoRNAs: the box C/D class, and the box H/ACA class. The record is from Rfam by way of RNAcentral. Lineage: Eukaryota; Viridiplantae; Streptophyta; Magnoliopsida; Ranunculales; Papaveraceae.
AUGACCUUACUUGAACAGGAUCUGUUCUAUAGGAUCGUGCCUCUGUAUCCUGGAAUUAUAAGGAGACAUGAACCCAAGUCUGGUCGAUGAAUCAUACAAUGAAGGCAGUUU